This 68-nucleotide transfer RNA is filed under the name Gorsachius magnificus. RNAcentral describes it as "tRNA-Phe". It matches the Rfam family "tRNA". From Rfam's summary of the family: Transfer RNA (tRNA) molecules are approximately 80 nucleotides in length. Their secondary structure includes four short double-helical elements and three loops (D, anti-codon, and T loops). The record is from RNAcentral. Lineage: Eukaryota; Metazoa; Chordata; Aves; Pelecaniformes; Ardeidae.
GUCCCUGUAGCUUAACGCCAAAGCAUAGCACUGAAGAUGCUAAGAUGGUUUCUCACUUCCCAAGGACA